RNAcentral lists this ribosomal RNA (640 nucleotides) under Pseudovibrio sp. RNAcentral describes it as "bacterial SSU rRNA". It matches the Rfam family "Bacterial small subunit ribosomal RNA", at positions 82 to 757 of the family's 1533-position model. The record is from RNAcentral. Lineage: Bacteria; Pseudomonadati; Pseudomonadota; Alphaproteobacteria; Hyphomicrobiales; Stappiaceae.
UCCUUCGGGAUUAGUGGCAGACGGGUGAGUAACGCGUGGGAAGCUACCUUGUGGUAGGGAACAACAGUUGGAAACGACUGCUAAUACCCUAUGAGCCCUAUGGGGGAAAGAUUUAUCGCCAUGAGAUGUGCCCGCGUUAGAUUAGCUAGUUGGUAAGGUAAUGGCUUACCAAGGCGACGAUCUAUAGCUGGUCUGAGAGGAUGAUCAGCCACACUGGGACUGAGACACGGCCCAGACUCCUACGGGAGGCAGCAGUGGGGAAUAUUGGACAAUGGGGGCAACCCUGAUCCAGCCAUGCCGCGUGAGUGAUGACGGCCUUAGGGUUGUAAAGCUCUUUCAGCAGUGAAGAUAAUGACAUUAACUGCAGAAGAAGCCCCGGCUAACUUCGUGCCAGCAGCCGCGGUAAUACGAAGGGGGCUAGCGUUGUUCGGAAUCACUGGGCGUAAAGCGUACGUAGGCGGACUGAUCAGUCAGGGGUGAAAUCCCGGGGCUCAACCCCGGAACUGCCUUUGAUACUGUCAGUCUUGAAAUCGAGAGAGGUGAGUGGAACUCCGAGUGUAGAGGUGAAAUUCGUAGAUAUUCGGAAGAACACCAGUGGCGAAGGCGGCUCACUGGCUCGAUACUGACGCUGAGGUACGAA